UGCUGCUUCUGUCAUUGAACGACCAAGGGAAACAUUCGUGCUUCCCUAAUGCUGGCCUCCUGGGGGGAGUGUGUUUUAGGAGAUGGGCAGUCUGAUUGAGUCAAACGGUACACACAUCACGGGCCAGUUAAUCCUGGGACUUUACCUAUCAAUGAGAUGACAGAACCGAGGCACAGAGAGGGUUGGACCCAGCUGGGACUGGAAGCCAGACCGUUGGCUCCAGUGGACAUGCCCUUUGUCUCUACUCUGUGGGCUUCUAACCUGAAACUCGCGGAUGGCAGUGGAGAGGGGAGAGAAGCCCGCUGGCAUCUGAGGACAACAAUCUCUAGAUGAACUUUCCUGUUAGCUAUGUUUCCAAGCCCGUGAAGCUCUGAGAAAGACCUGGCUUGGAGGAUGGAGCGGGGAGUGCAGGUUACUGAAGACCAGGCUUGCUGGAAGUUCCAGGGAGGCUGAAUGGGGAGGAGGAGUGAAAAUAGAGAUGAAGUCAACCACGACGCCCUACCCCACCGCCAGCUCCUAAUAUUGUAUCAGGCCCAAUCUGAUACCGAACAUCCUGAAAACAGAGCUGCGUUCUGCCCACUGUAGUUCCCACGAUGGCCUCAGCGCAAAGUGCCAGCUGUGUGAGCUGGUGACCAGGAGCAGGGUCUCUGCCUAGAGAGGUCUACACCUGAGGAAGUGAUGGAUGGGAAACUGAGUGGAGAUCAACGGAAGAGCAAGAACUAUCUCUGUGAUUACAAUUGAAGACAAAUUGGCCUUGUUGAACUGUAGAGGUUGGGACCAAAGUAUGAAAGAAGAGGACUUAUAAUUGGGCACUUGCCUCUGGGAGGGAAAAAGGAGAUCGCAAACCUGAAGCUGUGCCAUGGGCUUGGCUUUCUGGGCAGGCGAGCCCCCAUGGGCACUAACCGUCUCUCCCCUCCCUGUCCCCACUGUCUCCUGGCUGGUCUUCCUGGCCAGACGCUGGAGGGUGAUCUGCUCUUUCAUAUUGCAGUACAUGACUCAUUUCUUCCUUGCCUUCUGACUUCCUUUCUUUCAUUCCUCAUUCUUAACAGUUUUACCAGCUAUUUAAAAUGCAUACUCUUAGAAAAUAUAAUGCAAAUGCAUGGAAAAGAUGGAAACGGUGGGAAAGGAAUACAGAGAAAAUUGUCUUCCUUCCACCCCUGACUCUUGACAAAAGUUCCUUCUGAAGGACCCACCACUGAUACUAAUUUCCAGAGUAUACCUUCCCAGAGAAAUUAUAUAUAUAUAUAUCAGCAGAAGUACCUAUCUAUCCAUGUGCGCCAUAGAUGCAAGCCUGUCAUCUGCUUCCUGCAACUUGCUAUUUCAGGCAGACUCCUUCUAAAACACCAUCCUGCUUAAAAUACUUUAAUAGAUCCCAGUUCUCUGCAGAAUAAAGCUCAGUCUCUUCCUGGUCAGAGCAUCUUUCACAAUCUAACUCCCCAAAUGAGCAUUGCCUUCCAGUCCGGUGCCUCUCUCCCUCCAGCUCCCUCCUUCUCCUCUUCCCGCCCCACCCAGGUUUCAGCCUCAGUGGAUCUCCAGACCUAUAAGUCUCACUGCUGUUAGUUCCUUGGUCUAAAGACACUUGCUUUACCUCUUCUGCUUGUCAAAAACAUUCCUUUUUUUUUUUUU
Molecule: long non-coding RNA, 1626 nt
Organism: Equus quagga
Lineage: Eukaryota; Metazoa; Chordata; Mammalia; Perissodactyla; Equidae
Exons: 5
Source: RefSeq, a predicted model, not a curated record